RNAcentral lists this transfer RNA (71 nucleotides) under Loxodonta africana (African savanna elephant). It matches the Rfam family "tRNA". Rfam says of the family: Transfer RNA (tRNA) molecules are approximately 80 nucleotides in length. The record is from Rfam by way of RNAcentral. Lineage: Eukaryota; Metazoa; Chordata; Mammalia; Proboscidea; Elephantidae.
GCAUUGUUGGUUCAGUGGUAGAAUUCUAGCCUUCCAUGUGGGGGAUGUGGGUUCAAUUCCCAGACACUAUA